CCCGACUGCUAUUUGGGUGAGGAUAAGCCAUGCGAGUCGAAUGGGAUACCUAAAUUUCCCAUGGCGAACUGCUCAGUAACACAUGAUCAACUUACCCUAUAGAGAAACAUAACCUCGGGAAACUGAGGAUAAUUUUUCAUAGUUGAAUAGGCUUGGAAAAGUUUUUCAAUAAAAGGGAUAAAAAAAAUGGUUUUUAUCUGCUAUAGGAUAGGAUCGUGGACGAUUAUGGUUGUCGGUGAGGUAAUGGCUCACCAAGCCGAUAAUCGAUAGGGGCCGUGAGAGCGGGAGCCCCGAGAUGGGUACUGAGACAACGACCCAGGCCUUACGAGGCGCAGCAGGCGCGGAACCUCCACAAUACACGAAAGUGUGAUGGGGUUACCCAAAGUGUUCAAUUCUGAACUGUGGUAGGUGAGUAAUGUCCCCUACUAGAAAGGAGAGGGCAAGGCUGGUGCCAGCCGCCGCGGUAAAACCAGCUCUUCAAGUGGUCGGGAUAAUUAUUGGGCUUAAAGUGUCCGUAGCCGGUUUAGUAAGUUCCUGGUAAAAUCGGGUAGCUUAACUAUCUGUAUGCUAGGAAUACUACUAUACUAGAGGGCGGGAGAAGUCUGAGGUACUACAGGGGUAGGGGUGAAA
RNAcentral lists this ribosomal RNA (630 nucleotides) under uncultured archaeon. RNAcentral's name for it is "bacterial SSU rRNA". It matches the Rfam family "Archaeal small subunit ribosomal RNA", at positions 21 to 637 of the family's 1478-position model. The record is from RNAcentral.